Oxyura jamaicensis (ruddy duck) is the source of this 2942-nucleotide long non-coding RNA. RefSeq lists it as uncharacterized. The transcript is spliced from 3 exons. Lineage: Eukaryota; Metazoa; Chordata; Aves; Anseriformes; Anatidae. The record is from RefSeq and is a predicted model, not a curated record.
CGGACCGGCUCGGCCCCUCGGCCCGCGGGGCGGCCGGGAGCCCGCAGGCUGCGGCUGGGCUUCGAGGAGAAGGGCGAGCACCGGCAGGCUGGCAAUUAGCUGGAGUAAUUGGCAGCACGCUGCUUGCCUGGGGUUUCGGCCUGCCUCUGGCUCUCGCAGGGGAUACACUCCCUUAGCCCCCGCUCAGUCCAUGUUUAAUACGGAAGGUACUCCUAAUGUCUAUGAGGAAACCCGUGAAGGCGCGUGAGGCUUCUUGUGCGGUCAGGUGUAGGGGAAUGAGGUCUCACCCCUGCAGCCCUUUGACAUGGAGCCAAACUCUGAAUCCGCACACUCUGCUCUGAAGUGGGUCUACUUGGACGUUUGGAGCCCGCUCGAGGAAAGUCGUCAUUCCUGGAAGGAGAUACGAAGUAUGAAAUGGAAGACAUUUCUACAUGAGAAAAGAUCACGUAUGAUACAUCUGUACUGGCAUAAUCACAUCUCUAUACCUACACCAGUACAUUUUUGUGUGCAUAGGAAGCCCUAUGUACAGCAUUAACCUCAUUUUAAAGCACAGCGAGACUGAGGCCCUGCAGAUUACGGGAACAGCAGUCCUGGCUUGGCACAUCCAUCCUCCCAGGUGUGCAAGGAUUCUGAAGAAACAGAACUGAAAUGGCUUGCCCAAGGUCAGGAGGAGCACAAUGCAACUGAGAUAUUAUCAGUGUAAUGAAGACAUUUCCAAGCAAUGCACAGAAGAAACAAGAGGCUGUUACUCUUUUUGUGCUGAAAUCAGGGCCAGGUGUCCGGGUGCAGCAGUAGUGACUGCGCCAACAGCAGUACCUCAGCGCUCCAGUUUCACAUGGAGAAAUAUGUGGAGAAGGCCUGGGAUGGGCAGCAGGCUCCGAGCAUCUAUUCAGUGCAUGGUUCACACUAAGCAGAUAUGACAAGACAGUAAUUAGGGAAGCACUGCAGUUUGUCAGGUGUCUUGUUAGAACCACAUUUUUACCUCUUCUGUUGUUGUUAGGGUUGACUGGUUGGUUCGCUUCGGUAUGAGAAAAUUAAUUUUCUUCUUAGACUGAGGCUUGGGGAGGAUCGCAUUAAUAUGCUCUUUUACCUAUACAGGGCAACAAAAUAGGCCAGUGUGGCCUUGUGCUGAUGUUUAAUAACCUGAACGACUGUUCUGGACAGGGUUGGUCAGAGGGUUGGUCAGAGCUGGCUUGAUCAGUUGGGCCACGUAAUUGUUCUACCUGAAGAUGUUACAGAGGACAUUAUUUCUUUUUUCAUAUCCUACUGUGCAAUGACAUUAGUGUUCAGUCUGCUGCAAGAAAACAUGACAUGGGGCUAGGAGCAAUGAAGGAGACAAACAGUUUUUUUGGAAACAGUCUGACUUUUCAUCAGAUCAGGUGUAAAAUCAAAUGAAACCAUCAGUUAUAAGGCUCAUAAGCCUGAUCUUUAGUGGAAUUGGGGCAUUUAUGCAGAUAAACUUCUAAUAAGAUUUUCAAAGGCAGCAUUAAUCUCUUAGACACUUUUUAAAAUCUCGGCAAGCACCUGCCUAAUCACCUUUAAAAUCUGGCUCUCAAAAACAGCUUAUUAGAAGGCAUAGUGCUAAGACACUCAUUAUAUUGCAUAUUUUUUUCUAUUACAUCACAUAACAAAUAUUUAAGAAAUACUAUGAUGACAACUGCUACCUUUACUAUUAGCUUUCAAUCAUCCUCUAAAAUCAGAGUUUAUAUGCAGAUUAUUAUUUAGUAUUUCUUGUUAACCUCAGCCAGGCAGCAUGUUUCAUCUGGCUUAUUCACAGGGGUUCCAGGGCUAGCAAGUGCCUUCUGGAGACAGUUUAGCACCAAACACAGUAACUUUGCUUCGCCUUUAGGUUUACCAGGUUUGUGCCAGAAACUAGAGCUUUGUGGCUAAUUAAAUUGUAUCAAACACCUAACUUAUUAUUUACAUUAAAAUCACUAGAGUCAUUUUCGUUUUAGCCAUUACAGUAUUGCCCUAGCAUGGGAAAAUAUGAGCAGUAUUUUCUGAGAGGAGAGGAGUUCUGUCAGGAAGAAUAAUGGCUUUCUAAGGAUACUUGAUUUCAUAAUUUCCUUCUUUCCUGGGCUGGUUGGUAAAAAGUACUUAUCAGCCUCUGUCCUCCAUGGCUUGUCUUCUUUAAAUAGGUGAGGUAUUAAACAAGCCUCCCACCACAGCAUUAUUAAAAGUGGAUAUGCAGACUGUUUAGCAGUUACACAAAUCUGUUUGGGAAAGAUGCCUCAGGCAGAAGACAGCAUGUGGGAGAAGGUAAGAAGUAUUUUUAAGAGGUCAUCAUAACUGCAAAGAGCUCAGUACAGUUUUCCAAACCCCUUUGGGUACAAGGCACUGGCUAGCCCUGGUAGCACAGAGUUGGCAGCUGAUUUCCACUGCCGAGAAAGGCAGUUGGGUCUGUGCUGGGCAAGGGUAUUUGAGCCCUGCACAGCAGCAGGAGUGGUAUGGUGCCCAUGGGGUGGAUGAACUGUGGCCUCCAAAGGCCAUCUGAAUGGGGCAUCAAAAUGACAGCUGCAGCUGAGCUGAGCUGCUCACCUGACACCCUGUCCCCAUUAAAGAGGACACAGUGGCCCUCCUGUCCCCCCUUUUCCCUGCUGAGCGCUCUGCUGGCAUCUGCAGGCAGCUGGGGCAGGGGGAGAGCAGAAGGACAGUGCCUCAGCAGCUGUUCUGUGCCAGAGGCUGAUCUGACCGCAUCCUCAAGCAUCGAGAUUCAACUUUGCUUACCCUGAAGAGAAGCUUUGAGCUGGCACUGUGCAGGUUGCACACAAACCUAGAGGAAGUAAGCUAUAAAGGCCUUAAAGGUAGAAGUUGUGAGGGUUUUCUAUACGCCUUCUUCAGUGUGUCCAGCAUUUACUAAAAUGAACCCUUCAUGAGUUUGUCCCUGUAGAGUCAAAAGUCUUCUUUGGGACCUACCUUUGCUUCCUGACUCACUCACAUAC